GCGCGCAGUCGAGGCACCGCGUUCGUUAAUGUUGACAUUGCCCGGGGAGCAGACGGUGCCAGUCUCUGUUCUUGAAGCGAAAACACUUCAGCUCUGCACCUGCAGUCACUCGUGUGGAUGUAAAGCACUCAAAAGGAAGAAUGUUACUGAAUCUGAAGAACAUUUUGUCAGGAGCGUCCUGCCAAGUAUUCGGAGCAAGGGGACGCUGCUGCUGCUGCUGCCGAUGUGCGCGCUCCGAAUUGAGUGAUGCACAGGACGCCAGCCACGUGCAGCUCCUCCUCCACACCUCGUCCUCAUCACAACGAGCACCUUGGAUGCGUUCGUUGGGGCAACACGCGCGCGCUGCGACACAAAGUCUAAGCCGGCCCCCGAUGUAGCAUGAGCCCCGGCAGGCGACACGACGCCAGCAGGCACGACAGCGCGGUGGAUCUUAGACAUACACAGCGUGCAUGAUGCAUGUCUGUGUGGGCGCAGUGGUGGGACAUCACCGCGGCUCGGUUUGUUGGUGGCGAGGUUCGGGCUCAGCUCCCCUGGGCGUCAGGGAAUGCCGCUCUCACCCCUUGAGAGCGGCCUUGAGAGUCGCCCGUCUAACAUUUGUGUCUUGGUCCCACGUGGAAGAGUAGGCCCAGUACCCCAUGUGGAGUUUCGCGCGAGUGGAUAACCCUUCCGGCAGCGAGUGGCGUGAGUGAGCUCUUGCAUGGCUGCACCUUUGCCCGCCUGGUUCAGUUUUUACUUCGCACGUUGCGUUGGAGACGCGGUUUGGAUGGGAGCCGCGUGGUGGAAAGCCAACAACAGUGGUCGUCAGGGACAGACUUGGCCUCAGCACGGGAAUGUGGAGUUUCCAGUAUCGGGCCCGGACGCCGCCUUGCGCUCGUGUGUGUGUGUAUGUAGAACUUCUUUCGCACCGUACGUAGCCAACCGUGCUAAGUGGAGGUGCGAGGGAAGCACAACAAAUUAAACGAGAAAAAAGGCAGUUCUCAAGAAAUGAGUUUUCAUUCUAGACGAUUUAAAAGUGUAGUUCCAGUGGAUUCCUGAUAUCGGAAGGAGGAGCGUUCCAGACGGCCGCAGAAGCGCAUCUUAAAGCGCCUCAUCCCGUCGCUGUGUACACUCACUCUCGCUACCACUCUCUCAUUCACUAUCUCACUCAUUCACUCUCUCAAUCACCAUCUCACUCAACCGCUCACUCUCUCAUUCACUCUGCCAUUCACUCGCUCUCUCACUCAUUCACUUACUAUUUUACUCACUCUCAUGCAUUCACUCUUUAACCCUCUCUCAUUCACCCUCUCAUUCAUGAAGUACAGUAUUCACUUGAUGUGAGGCUUUCGUGAUUGCAGGAAUCCAUAUCCUUUGGUUAUUUCGGUAAAGUCACGUCGGUAGAAAAAAAAAAUACAUCACUAUUGUUAUAUUUAAAAAUUUCUACCCACGUGACUUUACCGAAAGAAC
Petromyzon marinus (sea lamprey) is the source of this 1443-nucleotide long non-coding RNA. RefSeq lists it as uncharacterized. NCBI's taxonomy places the organism in Eukaryota, Metazoa, Chordata, Hyperoartia, Petromyzontiformes, Petromyzontidae. The record is from RefSeq and is a predicted model, not a curated record.